AGGGUGACAGGUGGUGCAUGGUUGUCGUCAGCUCGUGUCGUGAGAUGUUGGGUUAAGUCCCGCAACGAGCGCAACCCUCGCCUCUAGUUGCCAGCAUUCGGUUGGGCACUCUAGAGGGACUGCCGGCGACAAGUCGGAGGAAGGUGGGGAUGACGUCAAAUCAUCAUGCCCCUUAUGACCUGGGCUACACACGUGCUACAAUGGGCGGUACAAAGGGUCGCGAACCCGCGAGGGGGAGCCAAUCCCAAAAAGCCGCUCUCAGUUCGGAUUGCAGGCUGCAACUCGCCUGCAUGAAGCCGGAAUCGCUAGUAAUCGCGGAUCAGCAUGCCGCGGUGAAUACGUUCCCGGGCCUU
This 353-nucleotide ribosomal RNA is filed under the name uncultured Geobacillus sp. RNAcentral describes it as "bacterial SSU rRNA". It matches the Rfam family "Bacterial small subunit ribosomal RNA", at positions 1028 to 1382 of the family's 1533-position model. Lineage: Bacteria; Bacillati; Bacillota; Bacilli; Caryophanales; Anoxybacillaceae. The record is from RNAcentral.